UUCUCACUCUAUUAAAUUAUCACUGUUCUUCAUCGAAUUUCCUAAAAAAAAUUAUUGCAUUAACUUGAUAUUUAUUUUAGGUCCGAUGCACCUCGAGUAUUGGCAAUCUGUCAUAGAUUACACGUGCUUUGUAAACAUUGGCGAGGUCGGGGUAGCAGUGCGCAUCCUUGGCCUCGAUGUUGGCAAUCUUUGAAUAAGUGCUACCAGUGGUGUAGCCAGAGGGGUUUAUAAAGGUAUUGUGAUCUCUGUUAGAUCUUAAUCGCAAAGAACCUUUAUUACUUCAAUUAAUUAUGUUCUUACUCGAUUAAAUAGUAUCAAUAAAAUAUUUUAUAUGUCGGUUAUAAAUGAAAUGCAUAAUAAUUCUGAAAUUUUAUGCAUAUCCGAAAUUUACUUUCCAAGGAUGUAUUACUACGUGCAGCAUCCUUCUUAGUCCUGAAACGAUUUUCGAUGCACACAAUUCGGACAUGCGCCAUUGAAUUUAGGUUAUUCGACGCUUGACCGAAAUUGAGAUUGAAGAUUUCUUACUGCAUUUUAAUAUCAAGGAUACCUUUUAUUCUUCCGCUCUAUACAAUCAUCGGUCACACAAUUUUAGCGCAGAAAUAAAUUUCUAACUUUAAUAAAGCUUUAUCACUUCGUUUCCAAGGAUUGAAUAUGCCUACUAGGUGUGGUUUAAAAAGAUGUUGGAUGAGUUGUGAAAUGGACAAGGAGUAAGGAUAUUUUAACGCAAUGGAAUAUAUUAUAAUAAAGAAGAGGACAUCAAAGACGUACAACUUGAACUUCCUUUAUUUAAAUGAAUCAGAGGUAAUAUGAACCGUCGAUGUAACGUUGCUUGUACAAAAAUCAAACUCAACAUCAAUCUGCAUUGCCUGCUUUUAAUUCUUGAAUACUAUCAACGCAAUUAUCUGAGAAGUGCGAGCUAUUGCGUGUUAUUCUAAUUAAUCGGAACUUCGACAUUGACGAACGGAUAUGGGUGUCGCAACCGCUCAUAUUCCCCGUGGUAUAUACGUAUAAAAUACUCAUAUAUCUCACAACCAGAAGUUAAUAAUCAGAACUGUACCGCUUCUCCCGUGCAUACAAGAAAAUAAAUAAACAUAGAAAAAAAGCUUGGCCAUAAGUAACUUUUUUCAUCGCGUAUAUAUAUAUUAUAUAUAAUAUAAUAUAAUAUAAUAUAAUAUAAUAUAAUAUAAUAUAUAUAUUUUUUUAUUCUGUUAUUAUUCGAGCUAUAUAUAUAUAUAUAUAAAUUGUCCGUUCCCUUAUUUAAGUAUGACCGUUUACAAAAGCUACUGUUUCAGUAUCACUUGCCGUCGAUCACGCUUUAAUGCACAUAUGCUUUUCGGUAAAUCGUGUGAAAGUAAACGUGUGUAUAAUAUAAUAUAAUUUGAAACUGCGUGAAUCGUUGGCUUACUUUUUUUCGUUUUGUCUUAUCCGUUUUCGCUUAAACGUAUAUUGUAAUUAUUCACCUUGUACCAUACCGAAUCGAUAAAACUUUAUGAUUGUCUAAUAUUUUUAAUGUAACUAUAUAUUAUAAAUUACGCUUAUCUUAUUCUAACGGUGCUCUUUACCAGUAGCACGAUAGGGGCGAUUGAGUAUUUCUGUACGGCAUGUCUUUUGUAACACCCGUUACACAUAGAAUAACAUCGAUAGUAAUAAAAAUAUAAACAUUAUUUCGUUUCAUUUUUAAACUUUAAAUCAUACAAUUAUAAUUUAAUAGCUAGAUAGUACGUACAAAAUCAAAUGCCAGCACCUCGUUUAACGAGACGGAUUACGUUUGAAAGUGCAUCAAUCACGCACACUAGUUAAGUGUAAAUAAAAAUACUUUCCUGCCGUUGAAAUACUCACAGUGAAAUAAUCGUGAAGAUAGCGAGAGAAAAAAAAAAGAGGCGAAUUAUAUA
Long non-coding RNA from Bombus pyrosoma, 1892 nucleotides. RefSeq lists it as uncharacterized. Lineage: Eukaryota; Metazoa; Arthropoda; Insecta; Hymenoptera; Apidae. The transcript is spliced from 2 exons. The record is from RefSeq and is a predicted model, not a curated record.